This 877-nucleotide long non-coding RNA is filed under the name Heterocephalus glaber (naked mole-rat). RNAcentral's name for it is "lncRNA (ENSHGLG00000039148.1)". The record is from RNAcentral. Lineage: Eukaryota; Metazoa; Chordata; Mammalia; Rodentia; Bathyergidae.
CAAGUUAGAAACAGUAAGAGAUUAAGAAUAACUAAUAACAAAGUAGAGCAACUAUAACAACACUAAUAAAAGCUAUGCAUCUGUGGUCUCUCAAAAUAUUUUACUGUACUGUACUCACCUGUCUUCAUCUUGUGAUGACAUAACAUGCCUUUGUGAUGCCACAACCUGUGAUGAGAGGAAGUGAGGUAAAUGAUGUAGGCACCACUAGCACUGUGACACUGUGUCAACCAGAUAACAAAGACAGCCAGUAAGGGACUAACAGGCAGGAGCAUAUACAGCAUGGAUAUGUCAGACAGAGGGAUGGACUGGGCAGGAUGAAGCAGGAUGGUGCAAGAUAUUAUCAUGCUACUCAGAAAGGCUGUAUAGAAAGAUUUGGACUUGGGCAGCUGUAGUAUUAUCCUGUGAGGACCACAGAUGUUACCUGUAAUAGUAAAAUAAUGAAGGUGAUCAUAGAAGACACUGCAGGUCUGUAUGAACUAAGGCAAGAAAAGGAACAAAGGUUGAGAGGCUUAGAGAAGAGCAAGCUUCCUUUUGAUAUGACUUCUCUAGAAAACCAGAAAGAUGCAUUACUCAGAUUAAUUAGAGUUUUUCAAGAUGGCUGACUGAAAAAUUAAUGUACAGAAAAGCAAUUCUGGGAGAGGGGAGGGAGAGGAGAGGAAGGGAAUCUUAAAAAAAUCAGAUGUAUUAUGUGCAUGCACCACUCCCCACAAUAAAUGUAAUCAUAUACUGCAGACAUUUGCUAAUAAAAAUAAAACAUUUUAAAAAUCAACCUUUCUACCAGCAACAAAUGAUGAGAAAAGGAAAUUUGUAAAAAGGUUUGCUUCAAUCAAGCAUAAAAAUCAAAUACCGAUGAAUAAAUAUAAAAGAUGGCCAAGAU